Molecule: long non-coding RNA, 403 nt
Organism: Glycine soja
Lineage: Eukaryota; Viridiplantae; Streptophyta; Magnoliopsida; Fabales; Fabaceae
Exons: 2
Source: RefSeq, a predicted model, not a curated record
CUUCAAAUGAUGAUUUUGUUUGUAUAAAUUCAUGACUUCACAUCAAAUUAUAGCUCACUUCAAACAUCAAAGGCAAAGUUGCUAUUGACAUUGUUGAUUUAAAGAUGAUUAAGAUUUCUUUCACAAUCAUUUUUGCUUUUGCUCUUAUCUUUACAGUUAUUUCAAGGACAAGUGGAGCAAUGAUGACAGAUAACAAAUGUUUGAAAGUGUUGGAUCCUAAUAAUUGUGACCUCACAAAAUGUCGGGUUAAUUGCAUUCAACAAUAUCAAGGAAUUGGACAUUGCAUGGGCAGAAAUCCUUACAAAUGUAUUUGCAUAUAUGAUUGUUCUCCUUAGAAUGAUAUAUCAAUUGUUCCAAUUUGAAUACAAAAGAUAAUAAAAAAGGUUAAUAUAUUUAUGGCCAA